AACCCAAAAAAUUCUACCAGGGACCUCCUACAGCUGAUAAACACCUUCAGUGAAGUGGUUGGAUACAAGGUUAACUCAGAAAUAUCAAUAGCCCUCCGAUAUACAAAUGAUAAAUGGUUUGAGAAAGAAAUCAGGUAU
Non-coding RNA from Peromyscus maniculatus bairdii (prairie deer mouse), 138 nucleotides. The record is from RefSeq and is a predicted model, not a curated record. Lineage: Eukaryota; Metazoa; Chordata; Mammalia; Rodentia; Cricetidae.